Molecule: long non-coding RNA, 1806 nt
Organism: Solanum tuberosum (potato)
Lineage: Eukaryota; Viridiplantae; Streptophyta; Magnoliopsida; Solanales; Solanaceae
Exons: 8
Source: RefSeq, a predicted model, not a curated record
CUCCUUAUUUCUAAUUACAGAAAACCGGAACUUCAUACGCUACUCUGCUGAAGUUCUACGCUACCGGCGCUUAACUCUCCGGUGACGAUGUCCGAUCAAAACUAUGAUGAACUUCAUACGCUACCGGCGCUUAACUCUCCAGUGACGGCGAUGUCCGAUUAAAACUCUUAUGAGCUUCAUACGCUACUGCCAAGAUUCGCUACUCUUAUCUUGCUAUUCUUCGAAGCUUUUUAGGGAUGUGGGGGAGCAUUAAGGAGACUGCAUCAUUCUGCAGAAGCUAUCUGGUCGGAGCUUACACGUCAAUCAUCCCAUCAAUCUUCCACCCCAGGUUGUGGUGAAGGUGUAUUCUCUGAUGUAAAGUAAUGUUAUCAAAUUUCUUGGGCCAAGUGUGAAAAUGAAUCUUGUUAACAGUUGAAAUAGCAAAUUACAAGGUCAAGGGGAGUGCACAAGUACACGCGAUAGGGAGUCAAAGGAAGAAUCUGCACCAACAAAAACUCAAGAGUUUCUUAUAUUCUGAGACAAAAUGGAGGGACCUCCCUCCAGAGAUUACAGUUGAGUACCUUAGCUAUAUCUCGGAUGUUUUAGCGCGACUUCUUCUCUAUUUUGUUAAGAUGAUGGAAUUUUACCUUUUCCAAUAUGAGAUGUAGAGUGGUGCUGCAACCGGGAACAUUACGAAUCAGGAUACUAUACUCGAUGUCACUUCUGGCGUCUCACACUUUUUUUGGUGAUUAAUUGGUGGUUCCUGAUACCACUUUGAAAUUGAUCUAAUGCAUUUUGAUGUGCAGAAAGUUCUGCUCAAUUUAUUAUUUUACUUCAUCAUAUGAGGCUGUACUUUCUUUUAAAGGAUCUGGUGUCUCACGAAAUGGACUGGUGUUGAUGGGAGAAAGAUAUGCGUGUGUUGAGGAUGUUUAAGAAUUUGUUUUUACCUUCUGAGUGAGAUGGGGAGCAUUAAGCGAAUGCCUGAGGCUAUUUGGAGCUCAAUUCGGUCACAGGGGUUAUCUUGUAUUAUUUCACAAGGGUUGUUAAGGAGUUGGUUUUCAGCAGCCUCGAUGCUGGUGCCACCAAGUUUUAAUCGUUUAGACUAAUGCACCUGCAAAUUUGUGUGUUGCUUCAUGCUUGCACAAAAGGCAUUGACUGGUGAGAUUUUUCAAUGAAUUCUUGUGUUCCUUUGUUUGCUAUUUCUGAUGACGGAGGGCAUAUGCUUUAUAUGAAAGCUUCUGUUCUCUUUCCAGGUUCCAUCAACCUAUCCACGUGAACCACCAAAAGUCAAGUGCAAGACCAAGCUUUCUGUGUGAGAUGCAGGUAUAUAUCAUCCUAAUAUUGAUUUGGAGGGUAAUGUAUGCCUCAAUAUACUUAGAGAAGAUUGAAACCUGUUCUCAACAUUAGCACAAUUAGCUAUGGAUUGUAUCUUCAUUUCACGGAACCAAACCAUGAGGAUCCCCUUAAUCUCGAGGCUGCUGUUGUGUUGGGAGAUAAUCCUGAGUUGUUUAAAUCAAAUGUGAAAAGGGCUAUGCAUGGUGUAACUGUUGUCAAUAUAAGCUUCACGCAAUGCGUCGUGUAGCCUGUCCUCUGAUGCUGGCAGUAGCGUUCCUGAUCAGAUGCUGUAUCAUUUUGAGGUUUGCUGGGUUGUAUAUGGUGUCCGCAAACUUGCAGUGCCAUGUUAUCUGAGUGUCUGAUUUUCAUGGAGUAUAAAUUUAGCUUUAAGUUCUUUGACGUGUAUCCAUUAAUGGAUAUUUUAAAAAUAAAUAUCACUAUUUAGGUAUUUGGAAAAUAUUGAUCUCCUUUAUACAGAUUUUGGUCGAAGCA